GACGAACGCUGGCGGCGUGCUUAACACAUGCAAGUCGAACGGAAAGGCCCUUCGGGGUACUCGAGUGGCGAACGGGUGAGUAACACGUGGGUGAUCUGCCCUGCACUUUGGGAUAAGCCUGGGAAACUGGGUCUAAUACCGAAUAUGAUCAUCGGCUUCAUGGUCGGUGGUGGAAAGCUUUUGCGGUGUGGGAUGGGCCCUCGGCCUAUCAGCUUGUUGGUGGGGUAAUGGCCUACCAAGGCGACGACGGGUAGCCGGCCUGAGAGGGUGACCGGCCACACUGGGACUGAGAUACGGCCCAGACUCCUACGGGAGGCAGCAGUGGGGAAUAUUGCACAAUGGGCGCAAGCCUGAUGCAGCGACGCCGCGUGAGGGAUGACGGCCUUCGGGUUGUAAACCUCUUUCAGCACAGACGAAGCGCAAGUGACGGUAUGUGCAGAAGAAGGACCGGCCAACUACGUG
This 462-nucleotide ribosomal RNA is filed under the name uncultured bacterium. RNAcentral describes it as "partial 16S ribosomal RNA". It matches the Rfam family "Bacterial small subunit ribosomal RNA", at positions 28 to 507 of the family's 1533-position model. The record is from RNAcentral.